UGGCGGCGGUGGGCUUCGCGGUCAGCGCCUCGGGCUCCCGGCGCGAACGGGCGGCGGAGCUCGGCGUGUUGCGGGCGCUCGGCGCCCCGCGCCGCCGGC
Molecule: transfer RNA, 99 nt
Filed under: Streptomyces globisporus
Lineage: Bacteria; Bacillati; Actinomycetota; Actinomycetes; Kitasatosporales; Streptomycetaceae
Description: tRNA-Gly
Source: RNAcentral